Molecule: long non-coding RNA, 872 nt
Organism: Photinus pyralis (common eastern firefly)
Lineage: Eukaryota; Metazoa; Arthropoda; Insecta; Coleoptera; Lampyridae
Exons: 5
Source: RefSeq, a predicted model, not a curated record
AUGAAUCGCCAGUGAGUGCGCUUGUAUGUGCUCCAUUAGUAAGAAACGUGUUUAUAUUCCACGUGGAAAGGGCAGAAGGAAAUAGUGCAGCAGAGAAUGCGUCGAAUGUAACCCCGGUGGACCUAGCCCCCCCACCAUUGUGAAUCAAUUUAAGAAUGGCUUCAAGUUUAGAGAUGGUUGAGCUGAUGCAGUGGUGCUUUUAAAGUACGUAAGCUGUCGCUUCAUUGACCUACGGUGCGAGACCAAGUGAUUAAGCAAAGUUUGCACCGAUCUUCCCAAAUGGACGCAUCUUUGAUGUCUCUUGACAGUUACAAUACAAAUGGAGAAGAUUUCUUGAUUGCGGUAUAAGUUCAAUAUGAAACUCUCCAUCUUAUAACCCGUUACAAGAAGGUACACGGGUUGCUACACAGAAAAUUGGACGUUGCCAUUGACGUACCCCAUAUCCAUGUCAUCUUCAUGCAGCUAUCGCGGAAUCUUACACCAAGUUAAAUGUUGUUAUCGGUGUUGAGCAUAUGGUCUUCACCGGCAGAUCAUUGAUCGGCGAAAAAUCUGGUACUGGAGAAUCGGAGGAUCUGCAAUGAAUCCUGAUGACCCUGCCUACUCCAUGGCUGAUAUCAGCUCAAUGGAUUGGUUUCGGAGAAGACAAUUUGCACUUUCCUGGAAUGAACUUCCACCUCGCAAGUCAUCAAUUGGGACUCUGUCAAUAAUUGGCGACAAUUCUCACGCAGGUCCACUCUAGGUUAGGUUGAAAUGGGCACCUUUCGCUGUACCUAUCCAUAGGGAAGAGGACCACUUAAAACAAUACAAAUUUAUUGUAACGUGCUAAAUUAGAAAGUGUAAUUUAAGAUUUUGUUAAUAAACUUACUCACCAU